This 107-nucleotide transfer RNA is filed under the name Laccaria bicolor S238N-H82. It matches the Rfam family "tRNA". Rfam says of the family: Transfer RNA (tRNA) molecules are approximately 80 nucleotides in length. Their secondary structure includes four short double-helical elements and three loops (D, anti-codon, and T loops). The record is from Rfam by way of RNAcentral. Lineage: Eukaryota; Fungi; Basidiomycota; Agaricomycetes; Agaricales; Hydnangiaceae.
GGCGCUAUAGCCAAGUGGUUACGGCGACAGAUUAGAAUCAGGAAGAGGCUGUGCACGUGAUCAUCUGUUCCUCUUCGAGGGCGCAGGUUCAAAUCCUGCUGGCGUCG